Long non-coding RNA from Papaver somniferum (opium poppy), 1185 nucleotides. RefSeq lists it as uncharacterized. The transcript has 3 exons. The record is from RefSeq and is a predicted model, not a curated record. Lineage: Eukaryota; Viridiplantae; Streptophyta; Magnoliopsida; Ranunculales; Papaveraceae.
CUGCUUCCUUCAACCGAGACUCUUUUCAAUUUCAACUCAACGAUCAAUCUUCAAUUCGUAACCAAGAAAUUAGUAAUUAAAAUCUGUGUUUGAAUCCCAAUAAUCAAAUCAACUAGGGUUUUUUAUCUAUUGAAGAUAGAAGUUCUAAAGCGUUUCCAGGAAUUAUUUCGGCAAACGACGUAACGGACUCGAAAAACCUAAAUGUAAGGGUUUCCUAUACUUUAAGUACUCUUUUUCUAUUAACGGGCAUAAUCAUUGUUUUUAAGAUUCUAUUAGUUGUGAUGGGAUUGCGAAAAUUUGUAUUGGAUUUUGAAGAAUCAGGGUUGCACUUGCGCAGUUUUUGUGCAAGUGUUUUUGUUAGCUUAGUGUAGCCUAGGGUUUUGUUUGUUCAUAUUUAAGUUCGACAGCAGAUUGCUUAUGGUAAUCCAAACACUGAAGUGGUGCUAGGAUCAUGCGAAAGACAACAUGGGUGGGUUGUGUCGUGCAUUAAACGCAGGUUUUGAAGUAAAAGACAAGCCAUAUUCAUGAGGAUCAAGAGUCAAGAUAUUGGAAGUACUAUCAAUUCUCCCGACAUUUGAGAACCGAGGAUUGUCUUCAACAACUUACUACUUAACUUUUAUUUCUUAUUAGUUUAUAAUCACAAACUUUCCAGAGAAUCAAAUUAUUUUCUUUUAGUUUUACUCAUUAUAAUUGAGAAAUUUACGACCCUGAACUAACUUACUAGGCCAUGUUGAAGCUGCACAGAACUUAUAUUAAAAAUGUUCAAAGUUCAAGCCAUGUAUAUUGUUGUUGGAAACAGCAGAACUCUUAACUUCCUGUAGACUGUAUACCGGGUUAACCUGGAAAUCAUCUGGAACUACUGCAUGCUUAAAUUGUUUUGUACAAGGUGUCCCUGUUGAAUUAUGGUUGUGUAUGGUGGUGCGUUGACUCAUUUGUAAAAAAACAUAUGGAUGUUCUGUUGAUGUUGGAUCAUAGGUACACGCAAACAUAUAUGGUGUUUGCAUAUUUAAAUGGGGGACUGUACAUGGCGUACGGGGCAGGUGUGAAUUGAUUGAAGACAUAUUUUCAAAGUGUUUUCAUUUGAUGUACAUCAGACCGACUCCGAAGAUGCUAAAUGUGGUGAGAAAACAUCAAGGACUACCUUUGGACUUGAGUGAUCCGAACCAUUGGUUACAUUUGUACUCU